GUUAUGAGUAGCCUAGUGGACAUAGCAUCUGCCUGGAAAGCGGAAUAUUGUGGGUUCGAUUCCUAUCCCUGGACA
This 75-nucleotide transfer RNA is filed under the name Cordylochernes scorpioides. Its description in RNAcentral is "tRNA-Ser". The stretch from base 8 to 67 matches the Rfam family "tRNA", at positions 7 to 64 of the family's 71-position model. From Rfam's summary of the family: Transfer RNA (tRNA) molecules are approximately 80 nucleotides in length. Their secondary structure includes four short double-helical elements and three loops (D, anti-codon, and T loops). The record is from RNAcentral. Lineage: Eukaryota; Metazoa; Arthropoda; Arachnida; Pseudoscorpiones; Chernetidae.